UGAGGUCCUUCUUAGCGACAUUUUGACCCAAGCAUCAAACUGGGAAAAGUUCUCGUCAAAACAACCACAACCAAACAAUGCCUUAUCACUUUGCAUUUCUAUGAAAGAUGUAAGAUGGUAGAACUCAAUCCAUUCUUCUCCAAGUUGGCAGAUGCCAAUUAGUAGAUCAAAAGUUUUAAUGGAGAUCUUACAGAUGUAAAAAAGAUUAUUCUCUUGUUGAGGCUCAAACAGAUGUGCAAGGCACCUGAAUUGGAAGCUCCACUUGCUGUAGAUUCAUGGCAGAUCCUUCUUUGAUUUCAUCUUGGUCCGGUAUGAACAGUUUGCGCACACAAUCUAACAAGUCUACAGCGAGAUUGUUGUCCGACAACACGAGGGGUUAUGUAAAUAGCCUACUGUUCUUCCAAACAAAGUCCAAAUAUGGUAAAGAAAAGCAAAAGAAAAAUAGAUUAUAGUGACAAAAUCUGACCCCAAUCUUGCUCUAUUUAAGGCAUCUCCCACUUCCCCUUCGCUCCCUCACUCCGACCACACUUUUGGCCUACCAAUCCUCCACCUCCAAACCAGAAUCAUACAUCACGCAGCUCCACUUCCCCUUCUUUCUAACCAAUCUCAGCUCGCCCCUCGAGCACUACACAGUAGCAGCAAUGAUGUCGAAGCAUGCGGCCUCCCUGCUUUUGGCUUUUCUCCUCCUUGCCUCCCUCACUCAAGCAGCCAGGCCUCACCCAGCAGAUUCAAGAAACGACCAAGGGGAGGUUGCGGAUGAGGCUGGUUUUGAUCAGACAACAGAUGAAGAAUGUGGGGGAAUCGGCGAGGACGAGUGUCUGAUGAGGAGAACUCUUGUAGCUCGUACAGACUACAUAUACACCCAGGGGAAGAACCCCUGAGGGGUGCAGAAGUGGUUCUACUCCUAGUUAUUGGUGCUGUUUAUCUCGCGUAUAAUACCUCUGUUUGGGAGCGUCUUGUAGAUUUGUGUUUGUGCCUUCUGUUCUUCCCUUGUGACCUUCUCAAGAUUGCCUAUGUAAAGAGGGUUAAGGAUAAAUGCUACAAGAUUUUGUGCA
Molecule: RNA transcript, 1055 nt
Organism: Musa acuminata AAA Group (dessert banana)
Lineage: Eukaryota; Viridiplantae; Streptophyta; Magnoliopsida; Zingiberales; Musaceae
Exons: 2
Source: RefSeq, a predicted model, not a curated record